UGCCAGCCGCCGCGGUAAUACGAGUACCUCGAGCGUUAUCCGGAAUUAUUGGGCGUAAAGGGUCCGUAGGUGGUUCUAUUAGUCAGUCGUAAAAGAUCCGAGCUUAACUCGGGGACUGCGAUUGAAACGGUAGAACUUGAGUGUGCGAGAGGUAAACAGAACUCAUGGUGUAGGGGUGAAAUCCGUUGAUAUCAUGGGGAAUACCAAAAGCGAAGGCAGUUUACUGGCGCAUCACUGACACUAAGGGACGAAAGCCUGGGUAGCGAAUGGGAUUAGAUA
RNAcentral lists this ribosomal RNA (279 nucleotides) under uncultured bacterium. Its description in RNAcentral is "partial 16S ribosomal RNA". It matches the Rfam family "Bacterial small subunit ribosomal RNA", at positions 506 to 784 of the family's 1533-position model. The record is from RNAcentral.